This 1060-nucleotide ribosomal RNA is filed under the name Fusarium sp. SGLAf46. Its description in RNAcentral is "eukaryotic LSU rRNA". The stretch from base 465 to 1060 matches the Rfam family "Eukaryotic large subunit ribosomal RNA", at positions 1 to 655 of the family's 3401-position model. The record is from RNAcentral. Lineage: Eukaryota; Fungi; Ascomycota; Sordariomycetes; Hypocreales; Nectriaceae.
CAUUACCGAGUUUACAACUCCCAAACCCCUGUGAACAUACCAAUUGUUGCCUCGGCGGAUCAGCCCGCUCCCGGUAAAACGGGACGGCCCGCCAGAGGACCCCCAAACUCUGUUUCUAUAUGUAACUUCUGAGUAAAACCAUAAAUAAAUCAAAACUUUCAACAACGGAUCUCUUGGUUCUGGCAUCGAUGAAGAACGCAGCAAAAUGCGAUAAGUAAUGUGAAUUGCAGAAUUCAGUGAAUCAUCGAAUCUUUGAACGCACAUUGCGCCCGCCAGUAUUCUGGCGGGCAUGCCUGUUCGAGCGUCAUUUCAACCCUCAAGCCCAGCUUGGUGUUGGGACUCGCGAGUCAAAUCGCGUUCCCCAAAUUGAUUGGCGGUCACGUCGAGCUUCCAUAGCGUAGUAGUAAAACCCUCGUUACUGGUAAUCGUCGCGGCCACGCCGUUAAACCCCAACUUCUGAAUGUUGACCUCGGAUCAGGUAGGAAUACCCGCUGAACUUAAGCAUAUCAAUGUAACGGCGAGUGAAGCGGCAACAGCUCAAAUUUGAAAUCUGGCUCUCGGGCCCGAGUUGUAAUUUGUAGAGGAUACUUUUGAUGCGGUGCCUUCCGAGUUCCCUGGAACGGGACGCCAUAGAGGGUGAGAGCCCCGUCUGGUUGGAUGCCAAAUCUCUGUAAAGUUCCUUCGACGAGUCGAGUAGUUUGGGAAUGCUGCUCUAAAUGGGAGGUAUAUGUCUUCUAAAGCUAAAUACCGGCCAGAGACCGAUAGCGCACAAGUAGAGUGAUCGAAAGAUGAAAAGCACUUUGAAAAGAGAGUUAAAAAGUACGUGAAAUUGUUGAAAGGGAAGCGUUUAUGACCAGACUUGGGCUUGGUUAAUCAUCUGGGGUUCUCCCCAGUGCACUUUUCCAGUCCAGGCCAGCAUCAGUUUUCCCCGGGGGAUAAAGACUUCGGGAAUGUGGCUCUCUUCGGGGAGUGUUAUAGCCCGUUGUGUAAUACCCUGGGGGGGACUGAGGUUCGCGCAUCUGCAAGGAUGCUGGCGUAAUGGUCAUCAACGACCCGUCUU